Molecule: ribosomal RNA, 579 nt
Filed under: uncultured bacterium
Lineage: Bacteria
Description: bacterial SSU rRNA
Rfam family: Bacterial small subunit ribosomal RNA
Source: RNAcentral
ACGGGUGAGUAAUGUCUGGGAAACUGCCCGAUGGAGGGGGAUAACUACUGGAAACGGUAGCUAAUACCGCAUAACGUCGCGAGACCAAAGUGGGGGACCUUCGGGCCUCACACCAUCGGAUGUGCCCAGAUGGGAUUAGCUAGUAGGUGGGGUAACGGCUCACCUAGGCGACGAUCCCUAGCUGGUCUGAGAGGGUGACCAGCCACACUGGAACUGAGACACGGUCCAGACUCCUACGGGAGGCAGCAGUGGGGAAUAUUGCACAAUGGGCGCAAGCCUGAUGCAGCCAUGCCGCGUGUAUGAAGGAGGCCUUCGGGUUGUAAAGUACUUUCAGCGGGGAGGAAGGCGACGCGGUUAAUAACCGGGUCGAUUGACGUUACCCGCAGAAGAAGCACCGGCUAACUCCGUGCCAGCAGCCGCGGUAAUACGGAGGGUGCAAGCGUUAAUCGGAAUUACUGGGCGUAAAGCGCACGCAGGCGGUCUGUCAAGUCGGAUGUGAAAUCCCCGGGCUUAACCUGGGAACUGCAUUCGAAACUGGCAGGCUAGAGUCUUGUAGAGGGGGGUAGAAUUCCAGGUGUA